This 441-nucleotide ribosomal RNA is filed under the name uncultured bacterium. RNAcentral's name for it is "partial 16S ribosomal RNA". It matches the Rfam family "Bacterial small subunit ribosomal RNA", at positions 338 to 795 of the family's 1533-position model. The record is from RNAcentral.
CCUACGGGUGGCAGCAGUGGGGAAUAUUGCACAAUGGGGGAAACCCUGAUGCAGCAACGCCGCGUGAGUGAAGAAGUAUUUCGGUAUGUAAAGCUCUAUCAGCAGGGAAGAAGAAAGACGGUACCUGACUAAGAAGCCUCGGCUAACUACGGGCCAGCAGCCACGGUAAUACGGCGGGGGCAAGCGUUAUCCGGAUUUACUGGGUGUAAAGGGAGCGUAGACGGUUGUGCAAGUCUGAAGUGAAAGGCCGGGGCUAAACCGCGGAACUGCUUUGGAAACUGGAUAGCUUGAGUACUGGAGGGGCAGGCGGAAUUCCUGGUGUAGCGGUGAAAUGCGUAGAUAUUAGGAGGAACACCGGUGGCGAAGGCGGCCUGCUGGGCAGAAACUGACGUUGAGGCUCGAAAGCGUGGGGAGCAAACAGGAUUAGAUACCCGAGUAGUC